CUAGUCCUUCAAUGUGUCGCAGAACAUUAAACGAGAUGUCCAGGACCUCAAGAUCCACGAGAGCCUCCAAGUUCUCGAUCUUCCGAAUCUGAUUGUCAUAGAGAUCCAGCUCCCGCAAGGUCUGCAAUUGCUCCAGGUUCUCAAUGCGCUUCACCAAGUUCUGACGCAGACACAGAGUCUUCACUUUCUUGAGCACCUCAAACCCUUCAAUCUUUCCAAUUCGGAAAUGAUUCAGGUCAACAUCCUCAGCUUCUGGGUCCAGGCUAAUUGUUUCCAUGUCCACUGGUGUCUCUGCUUCUCCUGGGGAGCUCUCACCAUUCUGCUCAUCUCUCAGGCUCUGCUGGCUGAGGUCUGUUACUAAGCGCACCGCUUGCUUCUUCCCUUCAUCUUCCGACUCCUCCGAUUCGAUCCGCUUAUCGACCUCCAUCAUCUCCGUGCGCCCCUCUCCGCUCCCCGCCGCCAUAUUGCUUCUCCUCCCACCCCCC
RNAcentral lists this long non-coding RNA (485 nucleotides) under Gallus gallus (chicken). Lineage: Eukaryota; Metazoa; Chordata; Aves; Galliformes; Phasianidae. The record is from RNAcentral.